AACGAACGCUGGCGGCAUGCCUAACACAUGCAAGUCGAACGAGACCUUCGGGUCUAGUGGCGCACGGGUGCGUAACGCGUGGGAACCUGCCCUUAGGUUCGGAAUAACUCCCCGAAAGGGGUGCUAAUACCGGAUAAUGUCUUCGGACCAAAGAUUUAUCGCCUUUGGAUGGGCCCGCGUUGCAUUAGCUAGUUGGUAGGGUAAAAGCCUACCAAGGCGACGAUCCAUAGCUGGUCUGAGAGGAUGAUCAGCCACACUGGGACUGAGACACGGCCCAGACUCCUACGGGAGGCAGCAGUGGGGAAUAUUGGAAAAUGGGCGAAAGCCUGAUCCAGCAAUGCCGCGUGAGUGAUGAAGGCAUUAGGGUUGUAAAGCGCUUGUACCCGGGAUGAUAAUGACAGUACCGGGAGAAUAAGCUCCGGCUAACUCCGUG
RNAcentral lists this ribosomal RNA (433 nucleotides) under uncultured bacterium. RNAcentral describes it as "partial 16S ribosomal RNA". It matches the Rfam family "Bacterial small subunit ribosomal RNA", at positions 29 to 507 of the family's 1533-position model. The record is from RNAcentral.